GAAAUGCGAUAAGUAAUGUGAAUUGCAGAAUUCAGUGAAUCAUCGAAUCUUUGAACGCACCUUGCGCUCCUUGGUAUUCCUUGGAGCAUGCCUGUUUGAGUAUCAUGAAAUCUUCAAAGUAAAUCUUUUGUUAACUCAAUUGGUUUCUACUUUGGUAUUGGAGGUCUUUGCAGCUUCACACCUGCUCCUCUUUGUUCAUUAGCUGGAUCUCAGUGUUAUGCUUGGUUCCACUCGGCGUGAUAAGUAUCUAUCGCUGAGGACACUGUAAAAGGUGGCCAAGGUAAAUGCAGAUGAACCGCUUCUAAUAGUCCAUUGACUUGGACAAUACUUUUAUGAUCUGAUCUCAAAUCAGGUAGGACUACCCGCUGAACUUAAGC
This 377-nucleotide unclassified non-coding RNA is filed under the name plant metagenome. RNAcentral's name for it is "partial contains 5.8S ribosomal RNA, internal transcribed spacer 2, and large subunit ribosomal RNA". The stretch from base 1 to 105 matches the Rfam family "5.8S ribosomal RNA", at positions 50 to 154 of the family's 154-position model. The record is from RNAcentral.